UUCCGGUUGAUCCCGCCGGACCCCACUGCUAUCGGGAUAGGACUAAGACAUGCUAGUCAAGCGCUUUCUAGCUAAUGUGAGAGCGCGGCGUACAGCUCAGUAACACGUGGCCAACCUGCCCUUGGGACGGGAACACCCCCGGGAAACUGGGGUUAAUUCCCGAUAGGUGAAGAAGUCUGGAAUGAAUCUUCGCUCAAAAGACGUUUAUGUCAUGCUCAUAUUCGUCGCCCAGGGAUGGGGCCGCGACCGAUCAGGUAGUUGGUGAGGCAAUGGCUCACCAAGCCUUUUACCGGUGCGGGCCGUGAGAGCGGGAGCCCGGAGAUGGGCACUGAGACAAGGGCCCAGGCCCCACGGGGCGCAGCAGUCGCGAAAACUUUGCAAUACACGAAAGUGUGACAGGGCUAUCCCGAGUGCCAUCCGCUGAGGAAGGCUUUUACCCAGUAUAAAUAGCUGGGAGAAUAAGGAGAGGGCAAGUCUGGUGUCAGCCGCCGCGGUAAUACCAGCUCUCCGAGUAGUGUGGACGUUUAUUGGGCCUAAAGCAUCCGUAGCUUGCUAGAUAAGUCCUCUGUUAAAUCCACCGAUUCAAUCGUUGGAUUGCGGGGGAUACUGUUUGGCUAGGGGACGGGAGAGGUCGACGGUAUUUCCGGGGUAGGGGUGAAAUCCUAUAAUCCCGGGAAGACCACCAGUGGCGAAGGCUGUCGACUAGAACGCGCCCGACGGUGAGGGAU
RNAcentral lists this ribosomal RNA (728 nucleotides) under uncultured archaeon. RNAcentral describes it as "bacterial SSU rRNA". It matches the Rfam family "Archaeal small subunit ribosomal RNA", at positions 1 to 705 of the family's 1478-position model. The record is from RNAcentral.